RNAcentral lists this ribosomal RNA (223 nucleotides) under uncultured bacterium. RNAcentral describes it as "partial 16S ribosomal RNA". It matches the Rfam family "Bacterial small subunit ribosomal RNA", at positions 126 to 334 of the family's 1533-position model. The record is from RNAcentral.
CUACCCUAGAGUCUGGAAUAACCGGCCGAAAGGCUGGCUAAUACUGGAUAGAGCGAUGGAAUCCGUAAUUGGGUUUUUCGGGAAAGGGAGCUUGUAAGAGCCCUCGCUUUAGGAUGAGCCUGCGUCUCAUUAGGUAGUUGGUGGGGUAAUGGCCUACCAAGCCUUUGAUGAGUAGCUGGUCUGAGAGGAUGAUCAGCCACACUGGAACUGAAACACGGUCCAG